AGAGUUUGAUCAUGGCUCAGGACGAACGCUGGCGGCGUGCCUAAUACAUGCAAGUCGAACGAAACUUUCUUACACCGAAUGCUUGCACUCACCGUAAGAAGUUGAGUGGCGGACGGGUGAGUAACACGUGGGUAACCUGCCUAAAAGAAGGGGAUAACACUUGGAAACAGGUGCUAAUACCGUAUAUCUCUAAGGAUCGCAUGAUUCUUAGAUGAAAGAUGGUUCUGCUAUCGCUUUUAGAUGGACCCGCGGCGUAUUAACUAGUUGGUGGGGUAACGGCCUACCAAGGUGAUGAUACGUAGCCGAACUGAGAGGUUGAUCGGCCACAUUGGGACUGAGACACGGCCCAAACUCCUACGGGAGGCAGCAGUAGGGAAUCUUCCACAAUGGACGCAAGUCUGAUGGAGCAACGCCGCGUGAGUGAAGAAGGUCUUCGGAUCGUAAAACUCUGUUGUUAGAGAAGAACACGAGUGAGAGUAACUGUUCAUUCGAUGACGGUAUCUAACCAGCAAGUCACGGCUAACUACGUGCCAGCAGCCGCGGUAAUACGUAGGUGGCAAGCGUUGCCCGGAUUUAUUGGGCGUAAAGGGAACGCAGGCGGUCUUUUAAGUCUGAUGUGAAAGCCUUCGGCUUAACCGGAGUAGUGCAUUGGAAACUGGAAGACUUGAGUGCAGAAGAGGAGAGUGGAACUCCAUGUGUAGCGGUGAAAUGCGUAGAUAUAUGGAAGAACACCAGUGGCGAAAGCGGCUCUCUGGUCUGUAACUGACGCUGAGGUUCGAAAGCGUGGGUAGCAAACAGGAUUAGAUACCCUGGUAGUC
This 818-nucleotide ribosomal RNA is filed under the name uncultured bacterium. RNAcentral describes it as "bacterial SSU rRNA". It matches the Rfam family "Bacterial small subunit ribosomal RNA", at positions 8 to 795 of the family's 1533-position model. The record is from RNAcentral.